AUUUAUAUAGUUUAAGAAUAAAACAUUACAUUUUCAUUGUAAAAAUAAAAAAAAAAUAUUUUUAUAAAU
This 69-nucleotide transfer RNA is filed under the name Ostrinia penitalis. RNAcentral describes it as "tRNA-Glu". Lineage: Eukaryota; Metazoa; Arthropoda; Insecta; Lepidoptera; Crambidae. The record is from RNAcentral.